GAUGAAGAACGUAGCGAAAUGCGAUAAGUAAUGUGAAUUGCAGAAUUCAGUGAAUCAUCGAAUCUUUUAACGCACCUUGCGCCCUUUGGCCAUUCCGAAGGGCAUGCCUGUUUGAGUAUCAUGAACACCUCAACUCUUUAUGGUUUUCCAUGAUGAGCUUGGACUUUGGGGGUUUUGCUGGCCUAUGGUCGGCUCCUCUAAAAUAAAUCAGCUUACCGGUGUUUGGUGGGUAUCAUGGGUGUGAUAACUAUCUACGCUUGUGGUUUUUCCACCAGGUAACCUUCGACAGCGGAGGUUCACUGGAGCUCAUAGAUGUCUCUCCUCAGCGAGGACAGCCCUUUGAAUGUUUGAUCUCAAAUCAGGUAGGACUACCCGCUGAACUUAAGCAUAUCAAUAAGCGGAGGA
Molecule: unclassified non-coding RNA, 405 nt
Filed under: soil metagenome
Description: partial contains 5.8S ribosomal RNA, internal transcribed spacer 2, and large subunit ribosomal RNA
Rfam family: 5.8S ribosomal RNA (bases 1-121)
Source: RNAcentral